GCCCCCAAGACACCUUAUCUAUAUUCACAGUGCAAUGUUAUUUGAAUUUUCUGAAAAGUUGCAUGUUUCUUUCCUGUAUUGUGUAAAAUGCAUGCAGGAUCUCUAUCUUAUUUUGUACAUCUUUAAAGCUUUUUCCAAACAUUCAUUCCUUAUUUCUCGAUUUUCAGGUGACUGAAAAUUCCUGAGGCUUUUUCCUGGAAAAGAGUGGGUAUUGGAGACCCAUGUCAGCUGUCAAAGGAGCCUGGAUACCAGGAGCUACCUGCUGUAUAGAGGCUGGCUUGGGGCACUGCCUGGGACAUAGAAACCCAGGAGAGGAGCUCAGCAGUUGUGUUUCACCCCACCUCUUGAUCUGAUUUUCCCACAGAAAUUCAGCCAGAAUCUUCUACUUAGGAGUCUUUAGCCCCCAGAUGGAGUCUUCAGAGCUUCAGGACUACCUACUCAAGACAUUUCAGUAGGAGGGGCUAGGAGUUUGACUCAGUGUUUGAACACUUCACUUGCACAUGUAGAGGGCCUGGAUUCAUUUUUCCUUACAAUAAAUAAAUGAAUAAAUAAGUAAAUAAAUAAGUAAAUAAAUGGCUUUUAAAGAAUUCAGAGGCAGCAGGCAUGGUGGCAUACACUAUUAAUCCCAGCACUUAGGAGACAGAGACGGAUGGAUCCUGGAAUUCAAAGCCAGCCUGAUCUACAGAGCAAGUUUUAGGACCGUCAGGUCUAUACAGAAAGGGGUCUUGAAAAGCCAGGGUGUGACUCUCCAGGUCAGAAUACUCUCAGCAUCUGUGCUGUUCCCAGUCUUGUUUCCGCUUGGCUUUCCAUAGAAUGUGCUGGAACAUACUACUGUUUAUGCCCCCACUGCCACACCUUUGUUGGAAUCUUUAGCCUGGGAACCCUUGAGCAUUUCCAAAGGACUCCCAGAAAAGAUAGUCACCCUGUCUAUAAUGUGUAGAGGAAAGUUGAGAAUCAUUUACUUUGGGUAAAGCAUUUUAAACUCUGAGCCUGUGUUCAUCUUUGUUGUUAGCACUUGUCCACAAGUUCUUGAAGGGUGGGGCUUUUUUGCAUCGCCUCUGUACUACAAUUCUCAAGAGUCUGCCUCUGGAGUUCAAUAAAGGUUUGGUCAAGUGCUGAA
Long non-coding RNA from Grammomys surdaster, 1120 nucleotides. RefSeq lists it as uncharacterized. Lineage: Eukaryota; Metazoa; Chordata; Mammalia; Rodentia; Muridae. The transcript has 2 exons. The record is from RefSeq and is a predicted model, not a curated record.